GCCGGGGUGGCGGAAUGGUAGACGCGGCGGUCUCAAACACCGUUGGGGUUUCCCAUGAGGGUUCGAGUCCCUCCCCCGGCACCA
RNAcentral lists this transfer RNA (84 nucleotides) under Armatimonadota bacterium. Its description in RNAcentral is "Armatimonadetes bacterium (bioreactor metagenome) tRNA-Leu". It matches the Rfam family "tRNA". From Rfam's summary of the family: Transfer RNA (tRNA) molecules are approximately 80 nucleotides in length. Their secondary structure includes four short double-helical elements and three loops (D, anti-codon, and T loops). Further hydrogen bonds mediate the characteristic L-shaped molecular structure. tRNAs have two regions of fundamental functional importance: the anti-codon, which is responsible for specific mRNA codon recognition, and the 3' end, to which the tRNAs corresponding amino acid is attached (by aminoacyl-tRNA synthetases). tRNAs cope with the degeneracy of the genetic code in two manners: having more than one tRNA (with a specific anti-codon) for a particular amino acid; and 'wobble' base-pairing, i.e. permitting non-standard base-pairing at the 3rd anti-codon position. Lineage: Bacteria; Bacillati; Armatimonadota. The record is from RNAcentral. RNAcentral also lists the same sequence under 1 other name.